UACAAAAACAAAUGUAGAUCACUUUGGAUAAAAGUGUCUGCUAAAUGACGUAUU
This is a non-coding RNA of Salmo salar (Atlantic salmon), 54 nucleotides long. The record is from Rfam. Lineage: Eukaryota; Metazoa; Chordata; Actinopteri; Salmoniformes; Salmonidae.